RNAcentral lists this transfer RNA (84 nucleotides) under Nitrosomonadaceae bacterium. RNAcentral's name for it is "tRNA-Thr". It matches the Rfam family "tRNA". Rfam says of the family: Transfer RNA (tRNA) molecules are approximately 80 nucleotides in length. Their secondary structure includes four short double-helical elements and three loops (D, anti-codon, and T loops). Further hydrogen bonds mediate the characteristic L-shaped molecular structure. tRNAs have two regions of fundamental functional importance: the anti-codon, which is responsible for specific mRNA codon recognition, and the 3' end, to which the tRNAs corresponding amino acid is attached (by aminoacyl-tRNA synthetases). tRNAs cope with the degeneracy of the genetic code in two manners: having more than one tRNA (with a specific anti-codon) for a particular amino acid; and 'wobble' base-pairing, i.e. permitting non-standard base-pairing at the 3rd anti-codon position. Lineage: Bacteria; Pseudomonadati; Pseudomonadota; Betaproteobacteria; Nitrosomonadales; Nitrosomonadaceae. The record is from RNAcentral.
GCCGACAUACUCAAGCGGUCAACGAGGCGGUUUUUGUAAAGCCGUGAGCAAUCUUCGCAGGUUCGAAUCCUGCUGUCGGCUCCA